This 455-nucleotide long non-coding RNA is filed under the name Ricinus communis (castor bean). RNAcentral describes it as "long non-coding RNA (RCOM_LNC000923)". The record is from RNAcentral. Lineage: Eukaryota; Viridiplantae; Streptophyta; Magnoliopsida; Malpighiales; Euphorbiaceae.
UUGUAGUUGAUUUUCCACCACCUGCCUCAUGAGAUUCUGCAGGCUUACGCACUUGAUGACUUUGACCCUGCUUCGUUGUGGGCUCGAGUCCAUUUGAUGAUCCCUGGAAUACACCUACUUGUUUUACUACUUCUGGUUGUGAAGUGCUAGGUUCUCCCUGGCGAUCAUCAGGCAAUGAAGUUCUUGUUGCUACCAAACCAGAUAUUGUUGAGAGGUUGGGUCUAGCAGGUAGCAAGUGAGGAUUAUCAAGAUCCUUCCCAGACUUCGUCCAUCCAGCUCCAUGGACCAGUGGCCCUGAAUGUGAGACCUUCCUAAGUUGAUGUUCUUGGAACUCUCUUCUCCCUUCUUUAGUAGCUUGAGUUUGUUUAGAAGGAUCAACCAGAAAACCAGAAACAGUUUGCUCCCUGUGAGAGUUGAACAUCUCACCUCUACUAUUUGCAUUAGAAUGACGCCUU